CCANGAGGCAGCAGGCGCGUAAAUUACCCAAUGUGGACUCCACGAGGUAGUGACGAGAAAUAUCAAUGCGGGGCGCUUCGCGUCUUGCUAUUGGAAUGAGAGCAAUGUAAAACCCUCAUCGAGGAUCAACUGGAGGGCAAGUCUGGUGCCAGCAGCCGCGGUAAUUCCAGCUCCAGAAGCGUAUGCUAAAGUUGUUGCAGUUAAAAAGCUCGUAGUUGAAUUUCUGGUGUGGGAGCCCAGGCCUCGGUGCGAAUGCGCCUUGUAUUGCCUUGCGGCUCCUUUGCCAUCCUCGUUUUUCUUUUGAAGAACGUCAUUCACUGUAAUCAAAGCAGAGUGUUCCAAGCAGGCCGUAGGGCCGGUAUGUUUAUUAUGGGAUGAUCAGAUAGGACUCGGGUGCUAUUUUGUUGGUUUGCACAUCUGAGUAAUGAUUAAUAGGAACAGUCGGGGGUAUCCGUAUUUAGGAGCUAGAGGUGAAAUUCUUGGAUUUCCGAAAGACGAACUACAGCGAAGGCAUUUACCAAGCAUGUUUUC
RNAcentral lists this ribosomal RNA (531 nucleotides) under Thraustochytriidae sp. ANACC TC_025. RNAcentral describes it as "bacterial SSU rRNA". It matches the Rfam family "Eukaryotic small subunit ribosomal RNA", at positions 416 to 971 of the family's 1831-position model. Lineage: Eukaryota; Bigyra; Thraustochytrida; Thraustochytriidae. The record is from RNAcentral.